Molecule: long non-coding RNA, 1987 nt
Organism: Aedes albopictus (Asian tiger mosquito)
Lineage: Eukaryota; Metazoa; Arthropoda; Insecta; Diptera; Culicidae
Exons: 2
Source: RefSeq, a predicted model, not a curated record
UUUAUGUGGUAACCCUAUGCGAACGCUUGAGAACUCGCUCAGAGAAGCGAGAUAGUAGAAAGAGAGAAAGGGGAAUUUAGGAGAUAUUCAGAAUUGUACCGAGUAGGAGAAAUAUACUACGAUCAGAAGUUUUGUGACAACCAACCGAACAAGACGUAUUUUAUUCAAAGUCUGUAAGAACAGAAGUCUUUGUCCUCCCACUUUACUAGAUUGUUCAGUGGCGUACGAGGAUAGAUUUUUUUUAAAGUAAAGUAAAAUUUUCUAAAAGUUUUAAGUUUCGCGAGUGAAAGCGUGCAAUUUUGUGAUUUUCUUGGUGAUUUGGUAGGACCACCAAAUUCACAUUUUUUUUCCAAGGAGACUCGGCGUAAGUAACCAUUUUUAUCCCUUGUGAAGUGACAAAAGAAUUUUCUUCUCACCCAUUUUUCGCGCGGUCAGGCAUUGUUCUGAGAUUUUAUUUUAUGUGACAUCUUUUGCGCCAGAACAAUAACCGCUUUGUUUCUUUUGUGGUGAAGAAAGUCUAAGAAGGUGACAUUUUUACGAUUUGUAAAGCAUAUAGAGAAAGCUUUUGAGAACCAUUGUGUGAAACGCCAUUUUGAAGAAAACUUGAGAAACAUUAUUGGAAUUUUAUCGACGAUCAUUUUCUUUCAUACACACAUUUUUGGUUUUCCACAUUUCACAGCGUUUUUGCGAGGAUUCCACAACCAAUACCAGCAUAAAAUUUCUCAGUGUGAACCGUUUGCCGAAAGUACAUCAGUGACCGGGAACGCAAAAAGGGAAAAAGUGACGGAUUUGACAGUUCGACAACGCGAGUGUGCGUACGGCGAUCAACGAGCUCGACCAUCGAUUUCACCACUACCGACAACCCGAGUAUCGGAGCCAGUCGGUCGGCGAUUGUUUACCGUGGAGUCGAGAAAAAGUGCAUCGAAAAGUGCAUCUGAGGAGGUCAACGAACCGUAUCGAGCGAGUGUGCGGCCGUCGGUUAGCUGAUUGUGUUGUGUGCCGGUGGAGAACGAGUGAUUUUGUGCAUCGGGGUUGUGGAGUUGCUGCUGCUGCCGCAUUGCAUCGAGUGCAUCGAAGGAAACCUGUUUAUUUACAACGAGUGGCUGCUGCUGAGAGGAUUUUUUAAGAAAAGUGCAUCGGUGGAGAAAAUUUCAAACGGAUUUUGUUGCUGUGUGCUGCUUUGGUGCCGAUUUUGGAUUUUUUUGGUGUGCAACCGCAUUUGGUGUGCAUUUUUUGGAUCGUCUGGUGCUUUGUUGAAACAGGAUGACUUUGACAUCGAUUGCUGAUCCUUUCGUCCCUUACUCUAUGCCAUUCAGCCAGUACCAAGAACAGCUGGAAUGGAUUUUCAAGCACAACGAAUUUCCGGAAGAGCGUUAUAAAACGUCAUUCCUGGCAGUCUGUGGAAAGGAAAUUUUCACAGAACUGAAAAGACUGUUUCCAGGAAAGAAUUUUAAUGAUCUAACGUACAAACAAAUGACUGAUGAACUGAAAAAGCGUUACGAUAAGAACGAUUCAGCUGUUGUGCAUAGUUAUAAAUUUUGGACUAAAAGGCAAGGUAGGAAUGAGUCGCUGGAGGAUUUUGUGAUUACAGUCAAGAAUUUGGCUGAAAGAUGCGAUUUUGGAGAGUUUAAGGAUAGGGCGAUUCGUGACAUGCUUGUCAUUGGAGUGAACGACACUCAGUUACAAAAACGGUUGUGCGAUGAAGAGGAUUUGUCUGCAGCUAAAGCAGAGCGGUUGAUUCUUAAUUCAGAGAUAUCAGCCAGUAGGACGAAACAAUUAAACCACGACGAUGACAGGCGCGUUAGCGUAGUGGCCAGAUUGGGUAACCGAUCUGACGUUUCGCGGUCCAGAAACCGAUUCCGGGGCCGCAGCCGCAGUUUUGAUAGAAACCGAUCUUUUUCGUCUAGGAGUAGAAGCAACGGUAGACAAGACAGUAGAUACCAAAGCAAAAGAGGCGCAAGCUCAGGUAAACCUGUUUACCUUUGUU